AUACGUAGGGGGCGAGCGUUGUCCGGAAUGACUGGGCGUAAAGGGCGCGUAGGCGGCCAGACGAGUCUGGAGUGAAAGUCCCGCUUUCAAGGUGGGAAUGGCUUUGGAAACUGUCUGGCCUGAGUGUGGGAGAGGAUAGCGGAAUUCCCGGUGUAGCGGUGAAAUGCGUAGAGAUUAGGAGGAACACCAGUGGCGAAGGCGGCUUUCUGGACAGUAACUGACGCUGAGGCGCGAAGGCGUGGGGAUCAAACAGGAUUAGAUACCCUGGUAGUCCACGCAGUAAACGAUGAUUACUCGCUGUUUGCGAUACACAGUAAGCGGCUUAGCGAAAGCGUUAAGUAAUCCACCUGGGGAGUACGUUCGCAAGAAUGAA
RNAcentral lists this ribosomal RNA (373 nucleotides) under uncultured bacterium. RNAcentral's name for it is "bacterial SSU rRNA". It matches the Rfam family "Bacterial small subunit ribosomal RNA", at positions 523 to 898 of the family's 1533-position model. The record is from RNAcentral.